GUAGGUGGCAAGCGUUGUCCGGGAAUUAUUGGGGCGUAAAGCGCGCGCAGGCGGUUCUUUAAGUCUGAUGUGAAAGCCCACGGGCUCAACCGUGGAGGGUCAUUGGAAACUGGAGAACUUGAGUACAGAAGAGGAAAGCGGAAUUCCACGUGUAGCGGUGAAAUGCGUAGAGAUGUGGAGGAACACCAGUGGCGAAGGCGGCUUUCUGGUCUGUAACUGACGCUGAGGCGCGAAAGCGUGGGGAGCAAGCAGGAUUAGAUACCCUGGUAGUGCACGCCGUAAACGAUGAGUGCUAAGUGUUAGGGGGUUUCCGCCCCUUAGUGCUGCAGCUAACGCAUUAAGCACUCCGCCUGGGGAGUACGGCCGCAAGGCUG
RNAcentral lists this ribosomal RNA (374 nucleotides) under uncultured organism. RNAcentral describes it as "partial 16S ribosomal RNA". It matches the Rfam family "Bacterial small subunit ribosomal RNA", at positions 527 to 896 of the family's 1533-position model. The record is from RNAcentral.